RNAcentral lists this transfer RNA (85 nucleotides) under Candidatus Nitrosopumilus sp. RNAcentral's name for it is "Nitrosopumilus sp. tRNA-Leu". It matches the Rfam family "tRNA". From Rfam's summary of the family: Transfer RNA (tRNA) molecules are approximately 80 nucleotides in length. RNAcentral also lists the same sequence under 1 other name. Lineage: Archaea; Thermoproteati; Nitrososphaerota; Nitrososphaeria; Nitrosopumilales; Nitrosopumilaceae. The record is from RNAcentral.
GCAGAGGUGGCGGAGCCUGGCCAAACGUGGGGGACUCAAGAUCCCCUCUCCUAGGAGUACGCGGGUUCGAAUCCCGCCCUCUGCA